RNAcentral lists this ribosomal RNA (353 nucleotides) under Pseudoxanthomonas sp. RNAcentral describes it as "bacterial SSU rRNA". It matches the Rfam family "Bacterial small subunit ribosomal RNA", at positions 1 to 345 of the family's 1533-position model. Lineage: Bacteria; Pseudomonadati; Pseudomonadota; Gammaproteobacteria; Lysobacterales; Lysobacteraceae. The record is from RNAcentral.
AGUUUUAAGUGAAGAGUUUGAUCCUGGCUCAGAGUGAACGCUGGCGGUAGGCCUAACACAUGCAAGUCGAACGGCAGCACAGGAGAGCUUGCUCUCUGGGUGGCGAGUGGCGGACGGGUGAGGAAUACAUCGGAAUCUACCUUUUCGUGGGGGAUAACGUAGGGAAACUUACGCUAAUACCGCAUACGACCUACGGGUGAAAGUGGGGGACCGCAAGGCCUCACGCGAUUAGAUGAGCCGAUGUCCGAUUAGCUAGUUGGCGGGGUAAUGGCCCACCAAGGCGACGAUCGGUAGCUGGUCUGAGAGGAUGAUCAGCCACACUGGAACUGAGACACGGUCCAGACUCCUACGGG